UGGGGAAUUUUGGACAAUGGGCGCAAGCCUGAUCCAGCAAUGCCGCGUGCAGGAUGAAGGCCUUCGGGUUGUAAACUGCUUUUGUACGGAACGAAAAAGCUCUCUCUAAUACAGGGGGUGAAUGACGGUACCGUAAGAAUAAGCACCGGCUAACUACGUGCCAGCAGCCGCGGUAAUACGUAGGGUGCAAGCGUUAAUCGGACUUACUGGGCGUAAAGCAUGCGCAGGCGGUUUUGUAAGACAGAGGUGAAAUCCCCGGGCUCAACCUGGGAACUGCCUUUGUGACUGCAAAGCUGGAGUGAGGCAGAGGGGGAUGGAAUUCCGCGUGUAGCAGUGAAAUGCGUAGAUAUGCGGAGGAACACCGAUGGCGAAGGCAAUCCCCUGGGCCUGCACCGACGCUCAUGCACGAAAGCGUGGGGAGCAAACA
Molecule: ribosomal RNA, 427 nt
Filed under: uncultured bacterium
Lineage: Bacteria
Description: bacterial SSU rRNA
Rfam family: Bacterial small subunit ribosomal RNA
Source: RNAcentral